Molecule: RNA transcript, 19494 nt
Organism: Pipra filicauda (Wire-tailed manakin)
Lineage: Eukaryota; Metazoa; Chordata; Aves; Passeriformes; Pipridae
Gene: NETO1
Gene name: neuropilin and tolloid like 1
Exons: 11
Source: RefSeq, a predicted model, not a curated record
GUGCGUGUCCGUAUAUGGGUGAAGAUGAAGAAGUCGCCUCUCAAGGGGGAAAAUCUUUUCAAUUUCCCUUUAGCAGGUGCAGGUCAAGGAGGAACCCAUGAGCAUUUUGUCUGAUCCAUGAACUGAUUAGGGGAGGGGAAAGGAUCCCUCUCUUCUUGGUCUUCCUUUCCCAGUUUUGAAAUCAUUCCUUCCCCACCACUGCUGCCCUCCCACCCACCCCCUCCCCUUCCCCUGCACUGAAUGAAUGAAAGAGACUCCAGGGCUUUCUUCUGCUUCUCGCCCUGGACUGGAGAAGUGAGGGGGCAUCUAUCUAUGCUCAUCCAUCUCUUUCUCGCUUCAUCCAUUCCCGGCGGGAUUUCAGACCGUGCAAUGUGUUUUCAGCCUCUUGCCGCUGCUACCACUUGAUACUAUGCGACGCGCAGGGAGAGGGUUUUGCGAAAAUGGAUUUAUUCUAUUUUAAAGGAUUUCUUCUCUAAUAAGGAUCUCAUUGCACACAAAUAUGACUAAAUCCCCUAUUUGGUAAAUCUUUCUCUACCCCACCCCUUCUCUUUGGGUUCCCUCCCGCCCGCGCCCCCACCCCUUCAGAGGAGCAAGCACAGGGAGCUGAUGACGGACCCAUUAAUCCCUUCUUCAAUGCAUCAAAAGAAGCCGAAGGGCUGGAAGUCGCUGGGCUCGGAGUCCUGCAGGAAAUGCUUCGAUCUGCUUUUGGUUCUGUAUGAAACUGGUGACUAGGGGCUCGGCUCGCUCCGCCGCCGCCGCCCGCCGGCACCUGGAUGCGCGGGCCGCCGCCGCCGCCGCCUUGCCCGCCGCCGCGAUGCAACGCUCCUGGCGGUGCUGGUGAUCGCUCGGGUGUGAUGGGAUUGAGCCGGCGGUGAUCAUUUGAAGGCGGUGAGGGAGAGCGAAGGAGAGGAAGGGCUGCUCCGCUGUGCUGUGUGUGUAGGGGCUUCGGGAUUUUUCUUUUUCUUAUUCUUUUCUUACUUCCAUCCUCUCCCCGCCACUGGAAGUCCUCCCGUAUCUAAAUGGAAUUAGUGGAGACCGAAGCCCCUUGUGUAAGGAACAGACAUGACCCAUGGACGCAGCUUCUUUCACAUUGUAGCAAGUCUAAUCAUCCUACAUUUGUCUGGGGCAACAAAAAAAGGAACAGAAAAGCAAACUGCUUCCGAAGGACAGAAACCAGUGCAGUGUGGAACUUGGACCAAAUAUGCAGAAGGAGGCAUCUUCACUUCUCCAAAUUACCCCAACAAGUAUCCUCCGGACAGAGAGUGUGUCUACAUUAUAGAAGCUGCUCCUAGACAAUGCAUUGAACUACACUUUGAUGAAAAAUAUUCCAUAGAGCCUUCUUGGGAGUGUAAAUUUGACCAUAUUGAAGUACGAGAUGGACCUUUUGGCUUUUCCCCAAUCAUUGGACGUUUCUGUGGACAGCAAAAUCCACCUAUGAUAAAAUCCAGUGGCAGAUUCCUGUGGAUUAAAUUUUUUGCUGAUGGUGAACUAGAAUCUAUUGGGUUUUCUGCUCGGUACAACUUUACACCUGAUCCAGAUUUUAAGGACCUUGGCGUUUUGAAACCAUUGCCAGUUUGUGAGUUUGAGAUGGGAGGACCUGAAGGAAUUGUGGAAUCUGUACAAAUUGUCAAAGAAGGAAAAGCUUCUGAAACUGAAGCAGUAGACUGUAAAUGGUACAUCCGAGCGCCACCCCGAUCCAAGAUCUAUUUGCGAUUCUUGGACUACGAGAUGCAGAAUUCCAAUGAAUGCAAAAGGAAUUUUGUAGCUGUCUAUGAUGGAAGCAGCUCCGUGGAGGAUUUGAAAGCAAAGUUUUGCAGCACUGUUGCUAAUGAUGUAAUGCUGCGGACAGGUCUUGGUGUAAUCCGCAUGUGGGCAGAUGAAGGCAGUCGAAACAGCCGAUUCCAGAUGCUCUUCACAUCUUUCCAAGAACCCCCUUGUGAAGCCAACACAUUCUUUUGCCACAGUAAUAUGUGUAUAAAUAAUACACUGGUCUGCAACGGACUCCAGAACUGUGUGUAUCCCUGGGAUGAAAACCACUGCAAAGAAAAAAGAAAAGCUAACCUAUUGGACCAACUUACCAAUACCAGUGGGACUAUAAUUGGGGUGACUUCUUGCAUUGUGAUCAUCCUCAUUGUCAUAUCUAUUAUAGUACAGAUCAAGCAGCCUCGUAAAAAAUUUGUCCAAAGGAAAACAGACUUUGAUCAAAAUGUGUUCCAGGAGGUGUUUGAGCCUCCUCAUUAUGAGUUAUGCACCCUCAGAGGGACAGGGACUACAGCUGACCUUGCUGAUGUUGCAGAUGACUUUGAAAAUUAUCAUAAACUGCGGAGAUCCUCUUCAAAAUGCAUUCAUGACCAUCACUGUGGAUCACAAGUGUCUAGCAUUAAGGGCAGCCGUAGUAACCUCAGCACAAGAGAUGCUUCUGUCUUGACAGAAAUACAACCCCAGCCUGUAAAACCACUCGUUCAACCCAUGAACAGGAGAAAUAUCCUUGUCAUGAAGCAUAGCUACUCACAAGAUGCUGCAGAUGCGUGUGAGAUAGACGAAAUUGAAGAGGUACCAACCACAAGUCACAGGCUGUCCAGACAUGAUAAAUCUGUUCAGCGCCAUAACAUUCCAGGUUCUGCCUCAUUGGGUCUCUAAGCAAACAUGAGUCUGAGUACAACACAACUAGGGUCUAAGAGACAAACCUGAGACUGCUUGAGAAUAGUGCGCUCCUGGGUGAUUUUGAACAUGCUACAAUGAAAUGUGAAACUAUCGUCCCCGGAAACACCAGCUAGAGGUUUUAUGGACUCUCUGACCAGCUAUUCUCAUGUCAUGACAAAAUUCAGCAAACAGUGUUGAGUAAAAUUACUAGAAGGCAAUAAGACUUUGGUUAUUAUGCUUAUCAGUCAUUUCUCUUUUCCUUUUUCUCUCUUCUUUUCGUUACAAUUUAAAUUCCCAAUUUCAGGAACAAUUUAUUGAAAUCAGGUAUUUAGCCAUUCAUAAUCACUUCAAUAGAAGCAUUUGUUGGAUAAGCAUCUAGCAAUAUGACUGAAUUUGACAUUGAGAAAUUAAUCUGCAUGUUUGUUACUGAAUAUUUGAGUUGGCAAAAAUCCCUUUAUUAGAUACAUUGUAAAAAGCAUGCAUUCACAAUUAUUGCUGUUACUGUUCCAUUUCUGUGUCAUAUGCUUGCUACUUGUAACUUUUUAUAUAAAAAUACAUAAAAAAAUGUAUAAUAAUUUCGUACCUUGAGUUUAAUGGCAAUGUUUUCUUUUACCUAAUUUAUCAAUCCUGUGUAAUUUGGGAGAUUGACCUCAAAAAGUAUCUUCUAGGAAUUUAAAACCCAGAUACAGCAGGAAAUCAUCUGUCUCUCAUCCCUCACUUACUGAAAAGCAAAAUACAUUUUUUUUUUACGAUUUAAAUGGAUUCAUAUUACAUAAAGCUGAUCACUUAAUUUCAGUUCAAAGGUUUGUGAUAAGCUAUAUGCUCAAUUCUGUACUCUUCAUUAAUUUAUUUCCACAGUAAUUAAUAAGAAGAUUGCUUCAGUGUAGUACAGUGGCAGAUAUUUAUCGGUUACACAAAUGUUAUGUCUGGGUUCCAAUUUUAGAAAUACAGAUAUAAACCACUUCGCUAUGCAAGAUAAAAUUAUAUUCGUAAUUCAAGCUACAAAUAUUAGCAACUGACACCAAAAUUACACCUGAGAAGUUGCGUUUUUAUAGGUUGAAGAGCCAAAAUUAUGUAAAGUUGAAAGUCCUCUUAUUUAAGAACUCAGUAACCAUGCAUAAAAUCAUAGUUUCAUUAUCUAUGUAAAGUGUUACCUUCCAAAUUCUGUUUUAAAACAAAUCCCAGUUCCUUCUUAAACAUCUUGUGUCAUUCACGGAUGAUAUAAAAAUGUUGCUAGAUUUACUGAAAAAAGCGUAAAAAAUUCCAUGUAUCUCCCCAAAGUAUAAAAAGAUGGGAAAAGAGAAAACCUGAAAGACUGACAUAAAAAAUAAGGUGAUCUAUAUGAGCUAUUUAAAUAUACAGGAUCUAAUUUGUAUAAUUAAAAAUACAGAAAAUUUGAUUUCUACAAGUGUGAUUUAGGAAUGACAUGAAAAGAUGAAGGGUUUUAGGUAUUUGAUUACUUUUUUUGUACACUAAAUUUACAAUAUAUUUUACACAACUCGUUUUUAGCUUGAUUAAAUUGUUUGCUGUCACAUAUUAGCUGCAAAAGACACUCCUCUGUCCUCUCCAGUCAUUGAGAGUCAUUGAGUCAUCCCUCAGUUACAUGGGUUUGUAGCAUGCACUAAUAGUUCAUUUCCAGAUCAAUAGCUCUUUAUAAUUCAUAUACUUUAUCACUGCUUUUCCCCUUAAUCUUAUCAAAUCCUAGCUCAUCAUCCUUUCUUAAGUAUAUUAUAUUAUUUACCACAUACAUGCUUAAAAUGGAUGCAUGUAUGCAUCCAUUUUAAAAUAAAGGAAGAAUGGAAGACUUGUUAGAAGAAGUGCAUAUACAGCCACAAACAUUUAUGUAUAUUUAUAAAUAUUUGCUAAUGGAGAUAGUGUAUAAAUAAAUAUAAAAGGAAAAUUCUAAAUAUUAAUUUAGCUUUGGAUGAAUUGUAUUGGUCUCAGAAAAAUGCUUAACUUUUGGUUUUUAUAAUUGCUAUAUAUUUAAGUGCCUAAAUCCCCUGAAAUACAGAGUUUGUCUAGUCCCUUCUAGACAAGUGCACAAUAAAAUUAAUUUUAAGAUUCUUCCAGUGAAGUGUUGACUGAAAGAACUAAACUGGAGAAGACAUGGAUUUUAAUAAUUACAUUUCAUGCACAUCCUUGCUUUCUUUUAAAAAUACCUAAUUGUGUCACAGAAAAAGAAGGGAAUAACAUAAAACCUGUGUAAAUAGAGCAAGUCAAACAAAGUGAGAAUGUUAAUGCUUACUUGAUUUUGGAAACUCCUUUAGAAAUAUGUUGCCUAAUAGCUAGGUAUAUCCUUAAACAGAAACAGCACUGUGAAUUGCAAAAUAUCUGUAAGCUGGGGGAACAGGGUCAAAUUAUAUCUAUUAAUAUAAAUGAAAAUAAAUUCAAACCUAGUUAAAAUAUUAUAAUUGAAAUAUUCAAUUCCAAGUAAUUAAAUGCUUUAUGUAGUCAGUAAAUAAUAGCCUAGUCCACUAUACUGCAAACAGUAAAGAAAACUUUUGUUUCGUAUCACACAACAGUAGGAUAUCUUAAUGUGAAACUCAAAAUAUUGAAAUAAAAGGAGUUGUUGCUGGAAGUAAACAGCUUUCCUUUCCUAUGAGUAUUUUCUAUUAUUAGGAAGCUACUCUUUUAAAAGCAGAAGGCAGUUCAAACAAGCUUUCUGUUUUAUGGAAAGAAAGUUUGGCUUGUUAAAUUAACAUAGCUAUAUGUGUUAAUACUGUAUAACAGAACAGUAACUUACAGUAAAUUAGCAGAGCUAGUGGUCUUAGCUUCAUGCGUUUUACCUCAUGUUAGCCUUAAGCUAAAACUAAGAAUGGUAUUUACUAGAUCAUUUUGGUUUGACUGGUGCAAUGUGUUUGAUCUACAGUAUGCCUAUUUCUUAUAUACUUUUUAAAAAUUAGGUUUUGUUAUAGUGCAUUGCAAUAUUGUUCAUAGUUCUGUGCUCUGGUUUUUUUUUCCCCAUGGGUGUAGUGUUAUGUAUAUGCUUUUCUUUUUGUGUGAUAGUAGUUGAGCAACUACUCCCAAAUAUUUUUUCUCUGCUCCAGGAAAUAUGACCUUUUCAGUUUGUGAAGUCUUUUCUGCAGCAUCAUUUGAAAAAUCUCAGGAAGUCCAUUUUGUAAACCAUCCUCAUUUAUAGCUUUUCUAUCUUCACAAUCACUUGAAGAAAAAAAAAAACCAACACACGACUCCGAUAAAUGUCAGUACCUUAUCCUUCUAUUUUUCCCAGUUUUUGUGCUGGAGAUACUCUCUUGAACCUAGCAACAAUGUAACCAAUGAGAGGGAAUAAGAGAAAGUAGAAAGGUGUCCUGCUCAAGAGAAAUUGUUAGAACAAAACAAAACAAAACAAACAAAGAAAAAACAGACAAAGAAAAGAAACACGGAAAGGUAUCAUAAUUAGAAGAAGAGUAUGAAGGGUUGUUGCUCAUACCCAUUUCCAAAUUUGCAGACACAUAUAGGACAGAUUAAUUCUUCACCCACCAAAUAAAAACAUACUGUCCAUGUCAAGCUCCAAGAGACAGAAUAACUGUGCUUUAUAGAACACUGUCCUACAAACAAGAAGGUGGCCUUUUGUGCUUUUGUGUACUUUAUGUUUGUCUUCUGCCACAAAGAUAUUUCAGCUGAGGGAGCACAGCUGAAGUCCUAAGGGAUCCUCCUGCAAAAAAAACUGCAAAGCUGCUUUGAACACAGAAGUCUGUAUCUGAUCUGAAAGUGUUUUAUCUCUUCACUCCUGACUCAGCAUUUCAUGUGUAGUCUUGGACUCAUGACUUCACUGCUCUUCUUCAUCGUUACCUUAGGAUCAUCUCUCUUUGCUCUUUGAUGAUCACUUUACAUCUCUAUCACUGCUGCCUUUCAUUUCUGUCCACAGUGAGUUUAGUUCUGUUUCCAUCUCUCCUCAAAAUUCACUGAAAAUGCUGAAAUCCUACCAGCUCACUUACCUUGUUCUUCCGUUGCAUUCACCUAGCUCUUUGCCAUCUAUCACUUCAGAGCCAUCUUAAUUGUCAUCAUCAUCAUCAUCAUCAUCAUCAUCAUCAUCAUCAUCAUCAUCAUCAUCAUCAUGACAAUUAAGAUGGCUCUGAAGUGAUAGAUGGCAUCUUAAUUGUACCUUGCCUAUAAACAGCAAAAUGAAAACAUGAGAUCUCAGCAUAUCCUAAUCACCCUUAAUUCAUGUAGCACAACAAAAGCUAUGAAGGUACAUUGGAAUGGACUGGCGGGUGGGUUCAUUAGGGAUACUGGAUUUGUAUUUUAAUGACUGUGCAUCAGUGUUGUCUAGGCUGUCUACCUCUGGGUUGGCGUAUGUGCUCCUGUGCUAACCAUACCUCAGUGUGCAUCCACCCUUUUUCUUCUCCCAGUUUACACCAUCGUCAAAUAAUUUCCAGCCCUUCUAUGUUUCCUUGUCUGCUGUAUUUAGAUUAGUAUGUAUCACCACACAACAUAAAUCCUCGUCUUAGUCUCCUUCCCAUACCUCUUGAAACACUGCAUAGCCUGGCAAACACCUGCUAGUGGUGUGGCAGAGCUACAAUCAGCAAGGUAAGAACAUCAGCUACCAGGAGAAGCAGGAGUUGCUGCUUCCAUGCAUUUUCUUUCCCAGGAAAAGGAGUUGUGCUGAUCCACAAUCUCCCAGCAAGGUCACUAUGGGAACAAAGGGAAGCUGCUCUCCAAGCAAGAAAUCGUAACUAAGAGUAGAGAGACAAUUUAAGAAGCCAAUGAUGAAAAAUGGAAAGAAUGAGACUGCUCAGAUUUCUUUACCAAAGUAACAGGCCUGACCAACACUGUGCAGCAGCAUUUCAUCUCUUCAUUCUUAGACAAAGGAAGACUGCAAUUCAAGUCUUCUUUUUCCCAGGGAGAAGGACGCCACAACUGUGAGUACUGACUCUAUUCAGAACUCUGGAAACACUUAACAGCUUCUUGUGUAAAUGUAGGCAGACAAGGACUUACUGGGCCUAUGAGGGUAGUCUUGAGCUGCCAUAUACAGCAUCUGCAACACCUAGUUAUUUAGAUCUUUUAAGUUUUCCAUUCUUCAGUUGAUCCUCCUCAGCUCUAGUGAGAUACAUAAAAAGCACACUCAACUAUUUGAAAAACGGUAGCUUUACUGGAAAGCAAUUACUUGCUAUUUAAUUUAGUUGGAUGUGAAAGGUAACCAUGGUGCUUGCUGCUGCUAUUGUGGGUAAAAAAAAAAAAAAAGGUACUUUUUUUGCACAGAUCCUGUAUAAAUAUAUCUGGUUAAAUGAACCGUUCAGUUGUAUCAACUGCAUCAGUAAAUUAAAAAAAAAAGGUUUUGCUUAUAAAACUGAUUAUAAAAUUGUUUCAUGGUCUAGUCACAUUCUCCCUCCAGAUCCUGCUUUUUUUUCUGAGUUCUGAAAAUUUUGGUUUGGAAAAAUGGUUUCAUUGAAAGUGAAUGACUUUCCCCAUUUUUAGUGAAUCAAGGAAUAUGAUUUAUAUUGGAAAAGGAGAGCUUCAUUCUCAUUUCUUAGUGCUAGAGGGGGUUUCAGCAUAGAACAGCAUAAGCUGCUUUCUCCCUUUGUUUGAAAAAUUAUUGAUUUAAAGUAAGAUUAAUGCUCUAUAUUUAGGUGAUUCAUACAAGUUUGAAAAAUGCAGUAAAACAAUUAAAAAGAACACCAGAAAUCUAAAGUAAGCGUAUUUUCCCGAUGAUCAAUGCAGCAAUAAUAUUUUAGGCAGUUACAAGGCUAAGAGUUGAACCUUUGGUUACCCUACAAGCUCAAUCCUAACCCAAAUUUUUGCAAUAAAAUUCAUAUUGUUACAAGAUGAAACUCAGCUGGAAUAUGAAUGAUUUAUAUUUGUAUACCAAUUUCAAAUUACAAAUUUAACAUUUAAAAAUCUUUAUCAAGGAGCUAGCAUCAUUCAUUUUAAAUACAACUGAUUUUCCUGGUCAGAAAGAAUUGCUGUCUUUUUUUUUUUUUUCCCCAGAGCCAAAUCUCUGCAUUUUGAGUUUUUCUUGCCAAAUGGAAGAAAUUUUUAAUUCCUUUCUAACUUUUUCACUCCCACAUUUUACUGACUGUUUUGGUGUAGAAAACACCCAUGGGUGAUUUUUUUGAUAUUCUAAGCAUAUCUGGCACCUGUUUAGUAAUGAAACAGUACAUUACAGCUUUGCCUGCAGGAGGAAUUUCUUCAACUGUUAUCUAAGUUGCAUGGCAAAGAUCCAGGCCCAGAGAAUUGUGCUGUCAUAUGAGAGUAACUUUAGUGACAUAAAGUAUCUUGUUAACUUUCAGUGUCUUGGUAGAAAGUCUACACUAAUCUAGGGAAAUAUUAUUUAUAAGUAAUAAUUUAAACUUUAAUUUUUUAGAAUAUUAUUAUAACAUCUCCAUUGGUUAAUAUUGCCAUUUCUUUGGUGAUUGGAGAAUGAAGUUACCAUGGAAAAUUUACAGUUCGUAACAGAAUGGACCAAAGAUAAUGUGACAUUACUAUUAUGUAUGCUAGGGUUUUCAGAUCUGUGAUUUCAUUUCCUUAAAUUCAGCCAGAAUUCUUAGUUUUACUCCUCCCUUUUGUAAUGGAAACUUUGUACUCUGUGUAUGUCUAUUAGAUUAACACUGCUUUUGCAAUUCACUAGCUUACAGGGACUCAAAAAGAAAAAAUAUUUUCUGUGAUAACAUAUACAGCUUUUUAAAAAAGGCUAUCAAAUGUCAUUAGAGAUUAGAUGGAUCACAAUGUGCUGCUGCAAAAUUAUUAGAUUCAAGAUGUGAAUAAAUAAAAAUAAGAAAGUACUCUAGAAACUCUGCAGGGUUUUAGUUCUCUAAUUUUUAUUAUUCAACUGGCUUUGAUCAAAGAUAGAAAUCUCAACAGACAUAAACUUUUAUGGAAAUCUCAACAGGGACAUAAACUUUAUAUAGCAUAAAGUUUUAAACACACAUUGGUUUGGAAUAUACGGAGAAAAGAAAGGGAACAUUUAGAAAAUGUUUUUAUGCUUUGAGCUUCUAUCUAAGAAUUAAUCAAACAGACUUUGCACAGGCUCCUUUCUAUAGAAUCUGUGCAUAAUGAUGAACAAACCAUUUAAAUGGGAAGUAUAAAAUGUAAUAUUUAAGAAGCAACAGAAGUAGAUCAUGGUAGUGAAAUUGUUUAGAAGUAUGAUGUGUGAUUCUGUACCUAGUAAACACAUUUUGAAGUACUGCAAAAUUUAACAAGUUCCUUUGGUUUCCUUACUAUUAGGCAUAUGGUUUAAAACUGCGACAUACCAAGGGAGUAAUACCUGAUUAAGUAAAAAGGAAAUUUCUUUUUUUAGAGUUCCUGAAUUAGAAUCUUGUCAUCCAUUCUGUGAGGGUGGGCUCAUCGCCCUCCGCUGUCAAUGACACUAAAUGGGCUGAUUAUUCAGAGGCUCUUCUUGACAGACCUCUUGUCAUUUUCGUUAGGACUGCAGAACUCACCUCCAGCUAUGAUGAUAAUUUCAGAAGUUAGUGGGUGAUGGAGAAUUUGGUCUAGUUAAACCUUAGCUCUAUAUCUGUAUUUUCUUUUAUCUAUUUCUACAUUUUAGCAAUUAAAGUAGAAAAAAAAAAAGGUAGCUAAUUUAAUUUAAAAUACAUUCUAUCACUGUGUUUGGGUUUUCGUUACCAUUCUUGAGACAUGUUCAUUGAUAAACACCUGUCAAGUAUUUCUUGUUUAAUGCCAUGACUCAAGUGAUGUUUAGCUUGAGCUUGAAGUUCUGAAGACACAAAUUUUUGUAUCUCACCUUGUUCCCUGACAUUUAUUAACAUUUUCAAAGCUCUCCAGCCUCUCAGGAACUGUUAUCCAGCUUGGAGCUGAUUAUUGUCAGUGCUGAACACCAGCUGGGUGAGAAGAAAGAAGAAAAACUUUGCAAAUGAAGAUUACUAAUCCAUUUUCUCCAUGAGAAGGUCAAUGUGACUACCAAAGCUGAAUGGACCCUUCUACUGCUAGGAAGAAAUGAGACUAAAAUUUCAGCUCACUAGGUUGUAUUUUUGCCAUGUGAAAAUAGUCCUUAUGUUUAGUUUCAAAGUGCAUACAGAAGUGGAAAUCAAAGAAAGAUAAUAAGAAAAAAAAUCUUCCAGAACCCUGACAAUGGUAAGUAAAUAAAUCAUUGUACCCUGGUGCAUAAAAUUAACGUACAUCAUAGCAUGGAGUGGAACCACUACUGUUUAUUUUGGAUAAUUUGCAAAUCUUCUAAUGAGUUUGUUUUUAUACAUGGAUCAGGCUAACAUUUUAGUUAUGUUGUCUUCAUCUAGUACCAGGAAUUAGGAACUCUCUACAUUCCUAAAUACUUUUGAAAGGUGUUAGCCAGACAGUUCCAACAACUUCCUCUGCUCCGUGUAUUAUAUAAUCAGUUAGGAACAGGAACUACAGUAUGGAACUCCUGUUGAGUCUAGCAAAACAUUGCAUAGCUAUGACCUCUAGUCAGUAUUGUAAUCAUAGUGCAUUGUUUGAAAAAUAGGAGAAAAUACAAUGAUGUAAUCUAAGAUCACAUUGAAGGACACAAUCCACAGAACCCUAGAAAAUAACUUUUUAGAGAAAAGACAGCGCAGAGUCAUUUCUGAGGAGCUUGACUUUGUCCUUUUUCAUAUGCUGAUUUCUAAAAUAAUAACAAACAUUGUAAAGGAGAAAGGGAGAACAAAAGCAUAAAGCACAUUCUUUUCAUUCAUAAUAAUUGUAAUGCUGAUCUCUAAAUCUGCUGCUUGGGUGAUGUAUUGUUUGGGGAGAAUCCUGUGCUGCUACAGGCUUUCAGUCAUGACGUGUAAUGCUGAUGCUUAUGCAAGUCUCCUCCAAGACUGUUAUUGAAGUUUCAUAAAAUUCAUAAAUCUAAUAAACAUGAGAAUAUUACAGCAUUUUGCCUUUGCUGUUUUCAACAGGAAAUACAUUCUAGAUUACAAAAUUUGCAGGGAGCUCAAGUUUGAAAAAAAGUCAUGAAUCUCUCCCCCCUCCAAGUCAUGCAUAUUGUGGAGAUUAACCAGACUAAUUUGUAAAAAUGUGGUGUAUAUGCUGACAUAUGCAGUCAAUUUUCUAAUGUGGCAUGCUUUCCAUCACUUUGUAUGCAUAUCUUCCAGGUACAUGGAUACUCCAUUACGAACACAACAGCUUAUAUGUCCCCAGACAGCAAUAAGCAGUCAUCAGAUGGCUGAAAACUGCAAAUGUGCCCAAUCUAAUGCUGCAAGUAGUUGGACUGAUAUUACACAAAGAAGUUGGACAGAGAAACACAAAGGAAGGCUUUCAUCCAUUUCCAGAAUAUUUCAUGCUUGGCAUUAGUAAAAGUAUUUCAAUUCCUAUGAUGAUGAACAUAUAUUAAAACGAUUUAUCCAUUUGCUUUCUGAAGAUGCUGGUAGCAUUUUAUUCUAGGGGAAAAAAGAUGCAGCUGAAAUGCUUGGGAAACAUCUGUUCAACCAGAUCAUGACUAAGGAAACUCCACACUAACUUUAUUUGUGUUUUGUUAUUGGUUUCUAUGUCUUUCAGUCACUCCUAAUGGAAUGAUAAAAGCUGUUAGUCAAAGGUACAUCAUGUCUCUAAGUUGAAUCUUGCUUCAAGAUUUUGGAUGAGUUGGACCCUUUCUGGGUUGGACCCUUUCUGGGUUAAGUACAACAGAAGCCAAAGGAAAAAUGGGUACUUGACAUUCCCCCAAGCCUGUAACACUGCAGGGAGAGUAAAGAAGGAAACAACCUCACCUGAAAAGCUUCAAAAAUUUCUUUAGAUUCUUUAACCCAUCAGAAACCAAGGUACUGUAAAUUAAGUCCCUCUUCUGAAGGCUGCUUUUGCUGCCAUCAAAAACAAUAUGAGAGGCACAUUAAGGCUGUCUAACAUUUUUCUAAUUUAUUACUAGGUGAUUACUCAUCCGCAUUAGUUUUCAUGGAAUAGAAUUGGUCUCUCCCUCAGAAACCAAUCUCAGUUUCACAGAGAGCUAUGCAAGAACAGCUGGAGUGUUGCACAUGCAGUCAAUUAAUUUUAGAAUUAUUUCCACUGAGUUACUUGAAUUCACAACUUCAGGUAACACUAUCGAAACCUUCCAGUUGAAGGGAGGCUCUGAUAUUGCUGAUAUUGCUUCUGUCUUUCCAUGUUUCAGUUCUGCUAUUCCAGUAGAAUUUAGAAACUCCUACUUCUGAGGGCUGGAAGAAAAUCCCUAAAGAAGAGAUAGUCCCCUACAUGUGUCUCAGAUAGCAGAGUCUCCCUUCCUCUCAGCUCAGUCACUUUCACAAAUGACUAAGGUAAAAGAAGUGGCAGCAACCAGGUAGCAAAGAGGUAGCAACUGGAGGAAAAAGACUCUGAGGCGGGGGUGUUGGAAAAGGGAAAUUGAAGUCUUUUCCUGGUAUAUUAUUGCUGCUCUUUCACAAGUAACAACUGAUAAAACAUCUUGCAAACAGUAAAAGGGAGUGAAGUUUUCAUUUGCCAGCUCUUCUGUAUGUGGAUUUACUCCUUACCUGAACUUACAGCAAGUACUGACUGGCAGAGGAGACUAUAAGGACAAGGGGAUUUGUCUUUUUCUAUGCAUUAAUUCUGCAUUUUUAUUUAUUUUUCAAGAAAAAUGUCAAUAUUUAUUGUGUUCAAAUAGAGCUACCAAGGUGUUAAGACACCUCAGGUUUUAGUGCAGAACAAAUUUUAUACACUUCAGUAGGGCAGUCAGUUUCUAUUGGCAAGCUCAGUGUCCAGUACUGUUAUUUAAAUGCCAAGUCAAAACUACUCGCCUCAUGAGUACUUAUUUCUUUUGAUCCAGGCCAAAACAAACUCAAUCAUCUGUAUCUGUGAUGAGUUUCAAUAACUCUUUCUCAUUUCUUUUUGCUAAAAUGGGAAGACGAAGGGAAGAAGAUAACAUAUUUUAUCUGAAGUCAGUUUCUAAUUCAAUUAGAGCUUCAUCUUGGCCCCACUGAACUCUCUGGGCUUUUUGCCACUGACUUUAAUAAGGUUGGAAUCGGACUCAUAACAUGCAGUUUCUUAUUUCUUCCAGAUAACCAAUUAAAAUAUUAAAUAUCUCAGGGUGAAUGCUUCCUUCUUGUCUACCUGCUCCUUGAUAUUGUGUUAUUGCUUUUUCUUCUGUCCUUCAGUAAGUUUUAAUUAAGGGUUGCUUUGUGUGUAGAUAAAGGGGGGAUGUUUAAUUUUAAAACUUUUCAAGUUAUGCUUCAGUCUUGAUGUUUUUUAAAGAGGGAAAAAACAUGAACAUUAGUUUUUUUUUAGUGGAGGCCUAAUCUACCAAAUUGGUUUGCCUGAGGAUGAAUUGGAAAGUGAGAUGACGAAUAAGGGGUAUGAGAGCAAACAUACGCUCUGUCUCCUCUUUUAAUUAAAAACAAAAGAAAAAGAAUGCAUUUGAUUAUUAAAAAUCCUGGUUCAUCAGACUCUCCAGAGAAAAUAAACCUCUUUUAUAUUUCACAGAAUGUCCAUUGUGAAAACAAGAUUAAUAUGACUGAUAGUUAGAUUAAUUUCUGAAGUCUCAUUACAUUCAUAUCCAUUCAUUCUUCUUUUUAAACCUGUCGGAUCAGUAUUUAUUAUUUUACAUCAGGAACAACUGAAAAUAAGGUCUUUUGAUCCAGUUUGUGGCAUUGGUUCCUAUGCCUGACAGUACAGGUGAAAAGAAUAUGAUAUCAAGGACUACAGAUUCAGAUAACAGAUUGAAGGAGGAGAUAUAUGCAAAGCAACACCUCUAAAAGCAUACUUGAAUGCUUUGUGAGUGCUGGAGUAUGUGAGUGCUGGAAUAUGUGAGUGCUGGAGAGAAGAAGGGAAAGAGAAAGGGAAUGAGGAGGCUCAGGGGGCACCUCAUUGCUCUCCACAGCUACCUGAAAGGAGGUUGUAGUGAGGUGUGGGUUGGUCCCUUCUGCUAUAUUUCAAGCAAAAGGAUGAGAGGAAGUUAAGUUGUGCCAGGGGAGGUUCAGGUUAGAUGAUAGAAAAAGCUUUUUCACUGAAAGAUUGGUCAGGCGUUGAAAUAAGUUUCACGGUGUGGUGGUGGAGUCAUCGUCUCUGGAAGUGUUCAAGAGGCGUCUGGGUGUCACGCCUGGGGGUAUGGUUUAGGGGUGAUUAUGGUGGUGCUAAGUUGACAGUUGGACGAGAUCUAGAAGUUCUCUUACAAUAUUAAUGAUUCUGUGUAAUUUUGUGAUUUGGCUUGAUUUUCAUUUGUGACCAUGCACUUGUUUGGUUGCAGUGUAUGCACCAGUAGUACUGCCUGGCUAGUAUUUGAACAAAUGUGUAUUUCCCUCUGUCCAGGUAAAUAUUUAAGAUUCGUAAUUUUGGUCUGAGUGAAGAUUUUGCACUACAGUUAUUGACUUGGGCCUUAUACGAAAAGCCAAAAAGAUGCCACUUAUCUCUCUUUUGUGCAGGUACACAGAACAUAUUGGUAUAUGCAAGAAUUUAAGAUCUUUGUAGAGCAUCUGAAAUUAGGGAAAAUUUAAAUGUUUGCUUGGAUUUCAUAACAGUAGGGGGAUAGAAAGGAAGAAUGCAAAAUCUCACCCAAUCUACUGACAUGACAAGUCAGUAAAAAGUUAUUUCUAAUGCUGUGCAAUGUAAUUAAGUCUAUUAACUUUUUUAUUUUAAAAAACUAAAUUACAGAGUCUAGGGUGUUAGACGCAUGAUAAUAAUUCCCACUUCUUGUAAGAAUUAAACUGUUGGCUAUGUACAAGACUUUCUAAUGACAAAACUCUCUUUGAAAUUUAUUAUGGCCUUGUUUAUUGAUUUAUCUAGGUCUCUAGGGAAUAUUACAGACUGAUCUGUCUCAGAUGUGUAUUGAAAGACUUAGAACUGCUGAAAACAACCUAUUUAAUGUACAGAUACCUUCAUCUAAUUGUUAACUUUAAAACUGGCUCAAACAAUGUAUUGGAUAUCGUUACGCCAUUAAUUUUUCCCUCUGAUGAGAGUGCUUGAGCCUUUUCCUGCACACUUUAAGUUCUUUACUCUAGAUGUUGUAAGGGCAAGAAAGAAUUUUUCUCAAUACAGCAUCGUGCUGUGAAAUCCUCUUCAGUAAAGCAUUUUAUCUGGACUAAUAUUUUUUUUCUUCAGUCUGAAAACCAGUGGAGUGUUUUCUAUGCACUGUACAUCCUGGAGAGCUUCCAGGGUUUCAAGUCUGCCCGGUGUCACUGUGAGACUCUAGGGGCAGGGAUUUAAUAUUUUUUUGGUUAAAUAAAUAGACACCAUAGAAGAAUAGGUUAUUUAUAAUCCAUUGGCACAGGCUAAUUUUAGUAGCCAAGCUAUAAAUGCAUUGAGCAAGCAGUUGCUAAAACUUACUUAAAGAGCUUUGGUGUCUAUUCAUCUUGCUGAUUGUAGCCAUAGCUUUCAUCUGGAAAGUGGUAGAUGGACAUCCUUGGAUAAAUUGAAAACCACAAGAAAUCAAAUUAAUGCCUUUUAUCUAAACAAAUAGACGGGAAACAAUUUUGUCUAUAUUUGCUCCAGACAACAGCAUAUAGACUGCACGAACUUGCUCCUUUUUUCAGCAGAUCCAGGUGGUGGGAUGCUUUCAUUUUCUCCAUCAAGUUUAAGAGACUAUGGUUUGAACGAAGUAAUACUGAGUAUAAUGAAUUUCAACAAGAAUGAAGGGAUGGAAGAAAAGACACUGAGUUAAAAUGAUAGCAGGCCUUGUACUUGAUUUGUUCAACAGACUUGCAAUUGGGGUAGCCUUUGUGUUAUUAAAUACUAUAUUCUAAGACGAAGUAGUGUAUCUGGCCAGAAUUUGAUAGAUCAAAUAGAAAAAGCAACACAUGUCACAGACACGUCUCAAAUCAGGUGUUCCUUGAUUUUGCACAUGACUAUGUGAGUUUCAGAUGUCAUUAAAUUUAUCCUAUAGCACAAGACAAAUUUUUUUUUGCCAGAAACUGGCAAGAUUUGAAAAAUUGUGUGUCUUUUACAGUAAUCAGGUGACAUAUAUAUAUAUGUAUAUAUUUAAAUCAUCAAGACAAAGAAAGAGAUCCAAACACAUCAUUUUAUUAUAAUAUUCAGAUAUUUUGGAGAGAAAUGCAUGAGUCUGAAGUGAUUCAUACCAUGGAUCCAAAUGGUUUUUCCGUAUUUUGUGAGAGUCCUUGGAUGAACAAGUUUGUACUUAUGCAUGUGUGAAAUAAAUCUAUUCUGCUGCAUUUUGAUGUAGAGAUUUAAGAUCUGCUUCUUUUAUCUCCAAAAUUAAUUAGUAUAAGAGUUGUCAGCAGUUUUUUGAGUUGCUUAAAACUAAAUGUGAGUGGUCAAACAGUAUUGCAGAAAUGCCUCUGGCAUUAUAUCUGAAGUAAAAUUGAAAACUCAAAACUUAGCUUAAAUUAAUGUGUUUCACCGGCUUAGUGGGAGGAUGGUGGCAUGUCUGCAAACAUUUAUAGAUCAGAGAAUGUCCUGAUCUGUUAAUAGUAAAUGCUAUUGAAAUCAUGGCCAAAUUCCAUUGAAAUUUUAAGUGCUAGGAUAUAACUUUAGAAAUACCUUUAUCGUAAAAUACAUGGAAACCUGGAUGAUAUUUUUAGUGGAACAAUUAGUAAUUGGUUUUAAAAAGAUGCUUCAAGUUUUGAUCUAUUCUUGUCAGUAUGAAUAACCAAGGUAAAAUAAUAAAUAUUGCUAAUGGCAAUUUAAUGAAAUAUGAUUAACGGUUAACACUAGAGAUCUUUCAGAAUGGCUGCUCUGUCCACUGGUUUAUCAGAAAUGUAAUUUUUGAACAGUAGAAUAUAAACUGUGUUUGCUUCAGAUUUUUAUUUUAUAUAAAACUGAUUGUAAUACAGAUAUAUUUUUAUAUCUGAUUUAAUAACAGUAUAGUAAUUCUAUCCAUUUACUGUCUGUCUGUCAAAGCUGGUACUAAUAUAACAUUCACAGUUCACAUCUACAAGUUCAGAGAACUUCAAGGUAUUAUUACUAUUCGUAAUGUUAAUAUUUUUCUGCCACUUUCAUUAUAUAUGAACUGAUGGUGCUUUGUUGUGGAAACUAAGAAAACACUUUAAGAAAUGCUGUAUCUCUCCUUGUCUGUGAAUUUAAAAAGAAGUACAACCAAAAACUUUAUAUAUUUAAUGGUGCUGUAAUCUUUUAAUUUAUCCUGUGUAGUCAGGCUUUACACUGGUCUCUCCAAAAGUAUCAACAUGCACAGUGUUUCUGAAGUGUGUCCUGAACAACAUACAUUUUAUUGGCUUCACUUGUUCUUGCUGUUUUCUUAUUAGGAUGACUAAGGAUUUUCACUGAACUGGUGGGAUUGACUAAAAUCAGGAACUGAAAAUGCCCCCAUUUAAGGUUUUCUUGUCACUGAAAAAGACCUUUACUUCACCUCUUAUAUUCCAGUGGAUGGCAAUCUAAAGUGAAAUUGUUCAGCUGAAAUUGCUGGGAUCUUAGGUACUCCAGGCUCCUGGAAAGACAUCCUAUUAUUAAUCCUGGAUUAAUGAAGAGACUGGACUUAGGGCAUGAUCCAGAGCCCAUUGUAGUCAAUGGGAGACUUUUUCCAUUGACUUCAUCGGGGUUUGGAUCAGGCCUUUACUUCCUAAAAUGAAUAAACUCCCAGAAAAAUCUGCUGUAAGCAAGUGACAUCCUUUCCUGAGAUCUUAGAAGAUACUGAAGACAAUAGUAAACUCAUACUUCGCCCAUGAGUAUGGCUAUAUGUGUGGCUCACUGCUCAUGGGGAGCACCCAGUGUAUCUUAAAAGCAAAGAAAACCCUUAAGAGUCUAAGCAUUGCUGGUCACGUUCAGAACAGUUGAUCUAGAAAGCAGGGAUUUAUGUUCAUAAAAUAAAUUGGUAAAUCAUGGGAAACAAAGCAGAUACAUUUCUGAGUAUUUCUUAGUUUCCAAGGGAAAAGGGAAUAUUUCAGUUUAAAACUCCCAGAACACUAGUAUGUGAAUUCUUGACAUUCAGAAAUAAAAAGCAGUGAUAUCAAUACUGACUUCACAUUCUGUCACAACAACAGUAAUGAAAAAUAAUAGUAGCAAAAGAAAUUCAUUAAUUUGUUUAUGAUGAGUGAUAAUUUUCAAAAUUUCUAAAUCUAUAAAAGGGAUCUCAAUUUGGUACAAAGUUGAUGGAAACCAAAGGAUUUAUUUAAAAAUAGCAAAUAGAGGGGAAUUACAAAGUUUCUUUUUAGUUGUUGUUGUUUUAUUUUCCUGAAUAAGUUUAAUGACUUUUCCCUAACUGAAAGAAAUAGAAAAAAAAAAAAAAAAUCCUCCCCUACCUGUUGAACGUGUGUACUUUCCAAAUAAAAAAAUCUAUUUAUGUCAUGUAUAUGUCUGAAAUCCUGAAUCCCUCACAACACAGGCUGAGCAAUAGCAGUGAACAAAUAGUAUAGGAUGGAUUGUUGAUGCUUCUGAGGUAGUUAUAUCUCUACAGUAAUUCCAUAAAGGCAGAGUUCUCUGGUUGACCAAAACAGAACUUAAAUGGAAAUGAACCUGCUUGAAAAAUUUGUUUGGGAGAUUUAAUGAUACAACUCCUCAAGAUUUCUUGCUUUUAUAUCUAAUUCAAAUUUCUUUUCCCAUUAGAAGUUGAAUACAUUAAUCUUGUUAGUUAACACAAAUUUUAGAGAAACUUUAUGGUCAAACUAUAUAUUAUGAUUGCAGUCAUUAUUUCAUCCACUAAUUUGUUUUCUUAUAAAAAUUUAAAUGUCUUAGCAUGUGACUCUUGUCAUAGUUACUAUCUCUCUUGACUGAUAUGAUCACUCCAUUUUUGAAGUUUAAAACGUUGUAUAGGUAAAAAAUUCUCUGUGAGCACUGGAAAAGUGCACCAUUACAUUUUGCAAAGUUAUAUUUUGUGAGUCAGAUUGGUAUGACUAGUUUAUAAUGCGAUUAAACUGUAAAUCUCUCUAUAUGAAUUCUAAAUAUGGUCUUGAGGUUAACUUUGGGCUACUGGUUUUUGAAGGUUGCUCAUAUGUUGUAUAGUUUCUUUAUAAAGGUUAAACUUGUUUUUUAUAUUAUAUGGUCUCUUCAGUUUAUUAUUUUCUUAUUGCUAGUUGCUUUGUGCAAGAAAACUAAUUAAAACUCUUAAUAGAU